AUUUAGGCGUAAAUAAUUGAAAGAAAAUAAAACCAAAGCGAAAAAGAUUUUCGGCCACGUGUUUUAUUUGUUUGUCGACAAACUUUUUUUUUUUGCUUUUAGAAAUUUCCUGUUUGGU
RNAcentral lists this non-coding RNA (118 nucleotides) under uncultured Tubulinea. Lineage: Eukaryota; Tubulinea. The record is from RNAcentral.